AACGAACGCUGGCGGCAGGCUUAACACAUGCAAGUCGAGCGCCCCGCAAGGGGAGCGGCAGACGGGUGAGUAACGCGUGGGAACGUACCUUUUGGUUCGGAACAACUCCGUGAAACUGGAGCUACUACCGGAUAAGCCCUAACGGGGAAAGAUUUAUCGCCGAAAGAUCGGCCCGCGUCUGAUUAUCUAGUUGGUGAGGUAACGGCUCACCAAGGCGACGAUCAGUAGCUGGUCUGAGAGGAUGAUCAGCCACACUGGGACUGAGACACGGCCCAGACUCCUACGGGAAGCAGCAGUGGGGAAUAUUGGACAAUGGGCGCAAGCCUGAUCCAGCCAUGCCGCGUGAGUGAUGAAGGCCUUAGGGUUGUAAAGCUCUUUUGUCCGGGAAGAUAAUGACUGUACCGGAAGAAUAAGCCCCGGCUAACUUCGUG
Molecule: ribosomal RNA, 431 nt
Filed under: uncultured bacterium
Lineage: Bacteria
Description: partial 16S ribosomal RNA
Rfam family: Bacterial small subunit ribosomal RNA
Source: RNAcentral